RNAcentral lists this ribosomal RNA (253 nucleotides) under uncultured bacterium. RNAcentral describes it as "partial 16S ribosomal RNA". It matches the Rfam family "Bacterial small subunit ribosomal RNA", at positions 524 to 776 of the family's 1533-position model. The record is from RNAcentral.
UACGUAGGGGGCUAGCGUUGUCCGGAAUCAUUGGGCGUAAAGCGCGUGUAGGCGGCCCGGUAAGUCCGCUGUGAAAGUCGGGGGCUCAACCCUCGAAAGCCGGUGGAUACUGUCGGGCUCGAGUGCGGAAGAGGCGAGUGGAAUUCCUGGUGUAGCGGUGAAAUGCGCAGAUAUCAGGAGGAACACCGAUUGCGAAGGCAGCUCGCUGGGACGUUACUGACGCUGAGACGCGAAAGCUAGGGGAGCGAACAGG